UAACACCUGGAAACAGAUGCUAAUACCGGAUAACAACAGAUGAUGCCUAUCAACUGUUUAAAAGAUGGUUCUGCUAUCACUCUUGGAUGGACCCGCGGUGCAUUAGCUAGUUGGUAGGGUAACAGCCUACCAAGGCGAUGAUGCAUAGCCGAGUUGAGAGACUGAUCGGCCACAUUGGGACUGAGACACGGCCCAAACUCCUACGGGAGGCAGCAGCC
Molecule: ribosomal RNA, 218 nt
Filed under: uncultured Lactobacillus sp.
Lineage: Bacteria; Bacillati; Bacillota; Bacilli; Lactobacillales; Lactobacillaceae
Description: partial 16S ribosomal RNA
Rfam family: Bacterial small subunit ribosomal RNA
Source: RNAcentral